This 230-nucleotide ribosomal RNA is filed under the name uncultured microorganism. RNAcentral describes it as "partial 16S ribosomal RNA". It matches the Rfam family "Bacterial small subunit ribosomal RNA", at positions 524 to 753 of the family's 1533-position model. The record is from RNAcentral.
UACGGAGGAUGCAAGCGUUAUCCGGAUUUAUUGGGUUUAAAGGGUGCGUAGGCGGGCUUUUAAGUCAGCUGUGAAAGUUUGCGGCUCAACCGUAAAAUUGCAGUUGAAACUGGGAGCCUUGAGUAUGGCAAAGGCUGGUGGAAUUCGUGGUGUAGCGGUGAAAUGCUUAGAUAUCACGAAGAACUCCGAUUGCGUAGGCAACUGGCUGGACCAUAACUGACGCUGAGGCA